Molecule: long non-coding RNA, 2520 nt
Organism: Nicotiana tabacum (common tobacco)
Lineage: Eukaryota; Viridiplantae; Streptophyta; Magnoliopsida; Solanales; Solanaceae
Source: RefSeq, a predicted model, not a curated record
CAAAAAGAAAAAGUAAAAGUCCAAAUACAGAUACAAAACAGAAAAAGCCUAAAUUUGACACAAGCCCUAAACGACCUAUCGUCCACACUCAAGCUACCACCGAGAAAGGCUUACGGGAAAAUCCAAGAGAUUUGUUCAGCCCUAAAAGACCUGCCGUCCCUAGAGAGAGCUUGUUGAGGCCUCUCCAGUUUGAAACUAACUUAAGUCUCAUCUCCUUUACACUAGGUAAGAUUCAUGUUAUAUACUUGUUUAUUAAUUUACUUAUUUGUCAAGUAAAAGAGAAAUUGGGAAUAAAUUAUUGGGGUAGCUAAUUCUACCAAUUUAUAUGUUUCUUUACUCUUUGUGAAGGUAAUCAGACAAAGUAAAGCAAAGACCUCGAAUCGAGUUUUUGUCGGCCUUCCUAAACAUGUUAUUAAUUUCAAUUAAGAUAAUUCUCUAUCAUUAGUUUACAAAUCGUUCUGGUCUGUGAUUACGACUUUAGACUUUUGUUGAUUAGUAGAUUGUUGAUUUCUUUGUUUUGUGUUUUGUUUUGUUGCCGUUUCUUUGCCGAUUAGUGUAUCUUUAGGCUUCAGGCGUUAGAGUGUUGUUAAUUGUUUAUGAGAAGUACAGUGCUGGAGUAUUCAUAUUAAGAAAUUCUUUUAUUUUCUGUCAAAACAAUAUUGAACUUUUCAACUAAAUAACUAUGGAAACUUAAGGAGGCACGAGGACCUUCACAUUCUAGCAAUAAGUCUAGAGUCUGAGUUAUAUUAGGAGAUUUAUGUCUUUAUCUUCAAGCACGUCAAGUUACAUACAAUUUCCGUUCCUUUUUCUAAAUAUUAUUGAAUAACAAUGUUUUAACAAGUAUAUUCCCAUGCCUUUGUUGCUUUCACUAAAUCAUGAAUGAGAUUUGAGUUGUCCAUCUUUUGCUUAAAUCUGUGAAUUCUACAUGCUUAAUUGUCGGACUAGUUUGGACUCUUUCCUCUUUGAUUUCUGAUUCUGUUAGCAUGUUUCAAUGUAAAGUUUAAGUGUGAUUUGGUUUCAGUGAUGAAUUUAGCACCUAUUUGUUGAAACUACUUACGUGAAAUGAUCAAGUUAAUAUGGAAGAUGACAGAACCAGGAAUCUGACCACCAGUAGGUCAGAGUCAUUUCUGGCGAAGUCAGUGCAACAUUUUUAAUCACAGUGUUGCAAAGUGUAUUUGUUUAAAAUAUUGGAUAUCUAGAAAUCAAAAGCAGUAGAGUUGAUACCUCUCUUUUCAGCAGAUGCUUAGUUACUAUGUAAAUGGAAAUAUCAAUAUGAUUCUCUUUUUUAUGAUGAUUUUAUCAUUGUGAACAAGUCAGCUGCUUACUAUAUCAUAUUUAGGCAAUGUCAAGAUAAGUGAAUAAGCAUGAUAUGAGAAGUUCCUCUCUUAUAAUGCAUUUAACUUUUCAGUAUUAUCACAUAUAUGCUACUUUAGCACAUUAGUUGGUCUCGCCAUUACUAUCAUUGUCAAAGUUUGCAUCUCUUUCUUUUUGUGCAGUAGAGAAAGCUUUAGAUUAAGUGAUAUAAUUAUGUAUCUCCAGUAAUUCCUGAAAUUUGUUAUUUAGAUCUUAAUUUUUUUGAUUUGCAUUUGUGACCCAUAUGGGAUUUAAUAUUCAAUGGAUAAUGGAGAUAAAAGUUGGAUGGGUCUCCGAAGAUCCACCGAUGAGUAUAUUCGCGGAGUGAAUGAUUUUCUUGAUAAGGCAUUUGAACGGGCUUCCAAAGGCAAUGAAAUAUUAUGUCCUUCCGAACCUUUAUCACUUCGAGAAUUCUUUGUGGCUACAAGAGCAAGAAAACUUGGAAGGUCAUACAAGGAAUCUGAUGAAGAUACAACUACUAAAAUUGCUGAAAUGGAAAAAAUUGAAACACAACAAAGUGAAGAUGGUAGCAGUUCUGUUAAUGCAUUUGCAGCCGUUAUGGGACCUGAACAUCCGGGACGUCUUAGAUUGUAUGGAUGAGGGGUUACAAGAACUUCUUUGAAAGGAAAAAUGGGACAUUUUGAAUCCUCUUCAAAUGCUACAAAUGAUCUGGUGCAACAAAUAGAAGAAAGGAUGACAAGAAUGUUCGAGGAACAGAAGGAAUAAUUUGAGAAACAGAAGGAACAAUUUGAGAAACAGAAGGAAUAAUUUGAGGAACAAAAAGAAUGAUGCGACAAGAAAUUUUAGGAGAUAUGUUUGUACAGCUUCAGCGUUCAGGAUUGCAAAUUGAUCCUAAUAUUUUAGCAAACUUGUGUGCUCGUUCACCGGGAGAAGCUUUGUCCUCACACCAAGUAGCUAUUCAACCAAUCAACAUGCCAUCUUUUGGCAACAACAAUCAAGGUAAACCAAAUGAUCAAGGGGGAGAUGAAAGCAGUGAAGACCUUACCUAAAAGUAUUGGUUGAAGAAUCUUCAGACAAUCUAGGAAUGUUUUUAUUUUUGAACUUUUUUGCAAACUUAUAAAUUCCAACUCUUGGAUUAUUAAACACUUUUAUUGUAUAUUUUACUUUUAUAAAUGGAUAAUCGUAGUUGUAUAUUUUGAAUUAUGA